Molecule: non-coding RNA, 74 nt
Organism: Choiromyces venosus 120613-1
Lineage: Eukaryota; Fungi; Ascomycota; Pezizomycetes; Pezizales; Tuberaceae
Source: the annotation of a GenBank genome assembly
GGCUUUGUGGUGUAGUUGGUUAUCACAUCCGUCUAACACACUGGUGGUCCCCAGUUCGAGUCCGUACCAAAUUA